This 442-nucleotide long non-coding RNA is filed under the name Rattus norvegicus (Norway rat). RNAcentral's name for it is "long non-coding RNA NONRATT005751". Lineage: Eukaryota; Metazoa; Chordata; Mammalia; Rodentia; Muridae. The record is from RNAcentral.
GGAGUGAACCCCCGCUUUGACCCUGCCUCAUCCAGCUACUCCUUGGCUAUGCACAGCCUCCCCCAUGUCAUCAACCCAGUGGAGUCCCGGCUGGGUGAGUUCCUAAGCAGGCCUUCUGUCAGGCCAGCGUGGGGUUGGAGGUGGCUGUGUGCUUUGGAAAGGUUUAGUGUCUGUCGGCCUGUCUGUCUGUCUGUCUGUCUCCCUUCCCCCUGCCCCUCUCCCUCUUCCCCUUUCAUCUCUCCCUUUGGUUGUUCACGGCAAAUCUCAUGCACCUCAGAAAGGUGGGAACUCUAUUUUGUUUUGGAUUUUUGAGACAGGAUCUCGUGAAUCCUAGGCUAGCCUCAAGCUUUCUGUGUAGCCAAGGAUGGCCUUGAAUGCCUGAUCCUCUGGUGCUACCUCCCCUGUGCUGGGAUUAUAGUCAUGUGCCCACCACACCCAGCUU